RNAcentral lists this ribosomal RNA (374 nucleotides) under uncultured organism. RNAcentral describes it as "bacterial SSU rRNA". It matches the Rfam family "Bacterial small subunit ribosomal RNA", at positions 526 to 896 of the family's 1533-position model. The record is from RNAcentral.
CGGGGGGAGCAAGCGUUGUUCGGAUUUACUGGGCGUAAAGGGCGUGUAGGCGGCCACCGCAAGUCGACUGUGAAAUCUCCGGGCUUAACUCGGAAAGGUCAGCCGAUACUGCGGGGCUAGAGUGCAGAAGGGGCAACUGGAAUUCUCGGUGUAGCGGUGAAAUGCGUAGAUAUCGAGAGGAGCACCUGCGGCGAAGGCGGGUUGCUGGGCUGACACUGACGCUGAAACGCGAAAGCUAGGGGAGCGAACGGGAUUAGAUACCCCGGUAGUCCUAGCCUUAAACGAUGAAUGCUUGGUGUCUGGGGUUUUAUAGUCCCCGGGUGCCGUCGCUAACGCUUUAAGCAUUCCGCCUGGGGAGUACGGUCGCAAGACUG